RNAcentral lists this ribosomal RNA (476 nucleotides) under uncultured bacterium. Its description in RNAcentral is "bacterial SSU rRNA". It matches the Rfam family "Bacterial small subunit ribosomal RNA", at positions 27 to 518 of the family's 1533-position model. The record is from RNAcentral.
GGACGAACGCUGGCGGCGUGCCUAACACAUGCAAGUCGAACGGAGUCAGAAAGCCUGCUUUUGACUUAGUGGCGGACGGGUGAGUAACGCGUGAGUAACCUGCCUCUGAGAGGGGAAUAACGUUCUGAAAAGAACGCUAAUACCGCAUAACGUAUCGAAGCCGCAUGACUUUGAUACCAAAGAUUUUAUCGCUCGGAGAUGGACUCGCGUCCGAUUAGUUAGUUGGUGAGGUAACGGCUCACCAAGACCGCGAUCGGUAGCCGGACUGAGAGGUUGAUCGGCCACAUUGGGACUGAGACACGGCCCAGACUCCUACGGGAGGCAGCAGUGGGGGAUAUUGCGCAAUGGGGGCAACCCUGACGCCAGCAACGCCGCGUGAAGGAUGAAGGUUUUCGGAUUGUAAACUUCUUUUAUCAGGGACGAAGCUUGACGGUACCUGAUGAAUAAGCUCCGGCUAACUACGUGCCAGCAGCCGC